AAUAGAUACCCUGGUAGUCCUAGCCGUAAACUAUGAGCACUGGGUUGGAGGGUCCUCCAUAGCCUUCCAGCCGCAGCGAAAGUGUUAAGUGCUCCGCCUGGGGAGUAUGGUCGCAAGGCUGAAACUCAAAGAAAUUGACGGGGGCUCACACAAGCGGUGGAGGAUGUGGCUUAAUUCGAGGCUACGCGAAGAACCUUAUCCUAGUCUUGACAUGCACGGAUUAACUCCUGGAAACAGGAGCCAGGCCUUCGGGUACAACGUGCACAGGUGCUGCAUGGCUGUCGUCAGCUCGCGCUGUGAAGUGUCGGGUUAAGUCCCUUAACGAGCGAAACCCUUGUCGCUAGUUGCCAGCGAGUAAUGUCGGGGACUCUAGCGAGACCGCCGGCGUUAAGCCGGAGGAAGGCGGGGAUGACGUCAAGUCCUCAUGGCCUUUAUGACUAGGGCUGCACACGUCCUACAAUGGCGCGCACAAAGGGAUGCAAAAUCGCGAGAUCAAGCAAAUCCCAAAAAACGACGCCCCAGUUCGG
Molecule: ribosomal RNA, 527 nt
Filed under: uncultured bacterium
Lineage: Bacteria
Description: bacterial SSU rRNA
Rfam family: Bacterial small subunit ribosomal RNA
Source: RNAcentral